GGCGGAACCCUUAAUAGAGGAUGCACUGGGAGAGGAAGCAGAGUAUAUCCCAUUGAAUGGUCAAUGUACAAACUAUGAUUGUGGAAUAUUCGUAAUGAAAUGGCUGGAAACAAUAGAUCCACAAAAAAUAAAGAGCGGCAAGAGAUAUAAAUAUAAAGCUUGGACACAA
This is a non-coding RNA of Arachis ipaensis, 169 nucleotides long. Lineage: Eukaryota; Viridiplantae; Streptophyta; Magnoliopsida; Fabales; Fabaceae. The record is from RefSeq and is a predicted model, not a curated record.